RNAcentral lists this ribosomal RNA (450 nucleotides) under uncultured bacterium. RNAcentral describes it as "partial 16S ribosomal RNA". It matches the Rfam family "Bacterial small subunit ribosomal RNA", at positions 354 to 796 of the family's 1533-position model. The record is from RNAcentral.
GUGGGGAAUAUUGGACAAUGGGCGAAAGCCUGAUCCAGCCAUGCCGCGUGUGUGAAGAAGGUCUUCGGAUUGUAAAGCACUUUAAGUUGGGAGGAAGGGCAGUAAGUUAAUACCUUGCUGUUUUGACGUUACCGACAGAAUAAGCACCGGCUAACUUCGUGCCAGCAGCCGCGGUAAUACGAAGGGUGCAAGCGUUAAUCGGAAUUACUGAGCGUAAAGCGCGCGUAGGUGGUUUUGUAAGUUGGAGGUGAAAUCCCCGGGCUCAACCUGGGAACUGCCUACAAAACUGCAUGACUAGAGUACGGUAGAGGGUAGUGGAAUUUCCUGUGUAGCGGUGAAAUGCGUAGAUAUAGGAAGGAACACCAGUGGCGAAGGCGACUACCUGGACUGAUACUGACACUGAGGUGCGAAAGCGUGGGGAGCAAACAGGAUUAGAUACCCCGGUAGUCC